UAAACGGCUCUUUUCAGAGCCACCAAUGCCAUGUAAAGAGUCAAGG
This is a non-coding RNA of Ciona savignyi (Pacific transparent sea squirt), 46 nucleotides long. NCBI's taxonomy places the organism in Eukaryota, Metazoa, Chordata, Ascidiacea, Phlebobranchia, Cionidae. The record is from Rfam.